RNAcentral lists this transfer RNA (75 nucleotides) under Sturisomatichthys panamensis. Its description in RNAcentral is "tRNA-Leu". It matches the Rfam family "tRNA". Rfam says of the family: Transfer RNA (tRNA) molecules are approximately 80 nucleotides in length. Their secondary structure includes four short double-helical elements and three loops (D, anti-codon, and T loops). Lineage: Eukaryota; Metazoa; Chordata; Actinopteri; Siluriformes; Loricariidae. The record is from RNAcentral.
ACUGAGGUGGCAGAGCCCGGCAAUUGCAAAAGGCCUAAGCCCUUUCACCCAGAGGUUCAAAUCCUCUCCUCAGUU